AUAUGCCCAGUUAGAGGCGGGCCACUGCACUGAACGUAAAAUGCGCUCUUGUUUUGAGUUGAAGUUGAAGAAGGCGCGAAGAAGACGUUGAUGAACCUACAGGUGAAUACAUUCUCCAGUCUAUCAGAAAGCAGCACGUCUCUGGCGCCACGUUGUGAAAUAUAGUCACCCUCAACAUCACAUACACAUCAGGGUGUGUCCAGGGCUGAGGUUCUUGCAGGCCAUCCACAGGGGGAUAGUGGUGUGGGAGCCUCUUAUAGCCAGCCGGGACCUAUUGAAUCAGGUGAAGAUUCUUGUGAUGAGGGCCCUUCACCAUCACACAUGUAGCAUAGUAUGUAUGCUUUACCUUUUUUUAAAUUAACAUCACAGUAUCUGCU
Molecule: long non-coding RNA, 377 nt
Organism: Cyprinodon tularosa
Lineage: Eukaryota; Metazoa; Chordata; Actinopteri; Cyprinodontiformes; Cyprinodontidae
Exons: 4
Source: RefSeq, a predicted model, not a curated record